This is a long non-coding RNA of Myotis lucifugus (little brown bat), 467 nucleotides long. RefSeq lists it as uncharacterized. The transcript has 2 exons. NCBI's taxonomy places the organism in Eukaryota, Metazoa, Chordata, Mammalia, Chiroptera, Vespertilionidae. The record is from RefSeq and is a predicted model, not a curated record.
GGGUGUGGGGUGGGGGCCCGCCCUUCGCCCUUCGCCCUUCGCCCUUCAGUGCGGGGAGGAUGUGCCUCGAGCGCCGAUGUGCAGUCCCGGGGAUCCUGGCCCCUCCCCACGCGCUGCCGUCCCCGGGGGCGCGGGGCGGUGACUCUCCCCGCCUCUCAGCGCCGCCGCUUCUUCCCAUAAACUGGCAACACCCAUUUCACGAGGCUGUAAAGGUUAGAAAGCGGCCCGACGCGACGGCACGAGGCUGCGCUCCCGGGCGGCGGAGCCUGGAGGGGCCGGGUCACUCCUCCCGCCCGGGCGCAGGGAACCGCCCUGCCCCGCCCCGCCCCACCCCUCCCGAUGCGGGCGGGCCCGCCCUGCGGCUCCUUUUAAAAACCACAGUCGCAGCCGCCAGCUAGACCAAACGUCCUCCGCCACCCGACGACCUCGCAGACCCGCAGCCAUGCCGGCAAGGGCUGGCAAGACCU